CAGAAAAAAAUCAAGAAGACAGGCUGGCUUGCAUGAUUAUUUGAAAGCUGCGCAGACCUGUUGGCAGAGGAAGAAAAACCUAUUGAGGUGAAGGAAGCUCUCCGAGGUUUAUGACAGCAAGAAGGAGCUCUGAAUGUGGGGCCAGGACAGUACCAGACAGAAGGAGAGAAUCUGAGUCUCAGUGGCUCAUAUUACACAUGUCAGCUGCAAAGAGGAAAUAUUUGAAGACUGUUCUGUGGUAGGAGGGGAAAAACACGGCAAAACCUUUGAGCAGACGCCUCAGAGCCUGCAGGAUAAGGUGUCGUUGCACACCUGCAGCAUGCCGGGAUGCUAAAAUCCACCCUCAGCUCUGUCUGUUUCAGGAUGGAUGUGGGAUGGAUGACAAAGCCCUCAUGGAAGGAGCCUUUCUGGCCAGCACUUGUCACUACAGGACUCUUCCAC
This 441-nucleotide long non-coding RNA is filed under the name Dromaius novaehollandiae (emu). RNAcentral's name for it is "lncRNA (ENSDNVG00000014987.1)". The record is from RNAcentral. Lineage: Eukaryota; Metazoa; Chordata; Aves; Casuariiformes; Dromaiidae.